Long non-coding RNA from Daphnia magna, 621 nucleotides. RefSeq lists it as uncharacterized. The transcript is spliced from 2 exons. The record is from RefSeq and is a predicted model, not a curated record. Lineage: Eukaryota; Metazoa; Arthropoda; Branchiopoda; Diplostraca; Daphniidae.
GGAAGAGAAGUUGGUGACUUGCUCACUUGCAGUACUUGCGGAUUUAUAUUUAAUAAAGUUUAAUAAAUACAGGAACUGACUAAAGAGUUACUGAACAUUAACUGCGAUAAGAGGCAUAUCGAAUUUCUUAAACUCAACAAUGUUCCGUACGCAUCCAAUGCAGACGCAACCCUGGAUUACAGCAUGACUAUUAUAUUCCUGUCGGAAGUUUUAAAUUUAACGCUAUUUUGACUUUAAUCACGAAAAACAUGUCAUUUGAAAUAGAUAUUUGCUAUUCCAAGUUUUUAAUGUUCCCUGAAUCUGCAAUGACAAGCAUGUUCUUUGUAACCUCAAAUUGGCUAUAAUCAAACAUAGCAGGCAUUUGGUGUAACCUUUUGACAAAAUCGACGCCAGAUUAAUUAUCCAAAACUCAUCAUCGAAAUUAAUACCAAAAUAUACAAAACUGUUCAUUUAUUUUUUUUUCCUUAGAAAGUUAGGACUUUAUAAUGAUUUACUACGAAAAAAAAAAAACGAUCAUUUGUGUCUCCCAUCACGAGCGCUUGUCGAAUACUACGCUGUAUGCUGAAAAUUUUCCUUCCAGAUCGAAGAAUGACUCAAGAUUGAAGAGCAGUAACAUGAUUG